AUUGAACGCUGGCGGAAUGCUUUACACAUGCAAGUCGAGCGGCAGCGCGGGGCAACCUGGCGGCGAGCGGCGAACGGGUGAGUAAUACAUCGGAACGUGCCCAGACGUGGGGGAUAACUACUCGAAAGAGUGGCUAAUACCGCAUACGAUCUAAGGAUGAAAGCGGGGGAUCGCAAGACCUCGCGCGUUUGGAGCGGCCGAUGGCAGAUUAGGUAGUUGGUGGGGUAAAGGCUUACCAAGCCCGCGAUCUGUAGCUGGUCUGAGAGGAUGAUCAGCCACACUGGGACUGAGACACGGCCCAGACUCCUACGGGAGGCAGCAGUGGGGAAUUUUGGACAAUGGGCGAAAGCCUGAUCCAGCCAUUCCGCGUGCAGGAUGAAGGCCCUCGGGUUGUAAACUGCUUUUGUACAGAACGAAAAAGACUCUUUCUAAUACAGAGAGUCCAUGACGGUACUGUAAGAAUAAGACACCGGCUAACUAACGUGCCAGCAGCCGCGGUAU
RNAcentral lists this ribosomal RNA (501 nucleotides) under uncultured bacterium. RNAcentral's name for it is "bacterial SSU rRNA". It matches the Rfam family "Bacterial small subunit ribosomal RNA", at positions 30 to 523 of the family's 1533-position model. The record is from RNAcentral.